AUACUUACCUGGAUGGGGUCAAUGUGCGAUCAAGAAGGUCCAUAGCCUAGGUUUGUGACCUCCAUUACACUUUGGAGGGGUGCUCACCUAAGAUAUCUCCAAGUGGGAUAUUCUACGUUGCGGC
This is a non-coding RNA of Thalictrum thalictroides, 124 nucleotides long. The record is from the annotation of a GenBank genome assembly. NCBI's taxonomy places the organism in Eukaryota, Viridiplantae, Streptophyta, Magnoliopsida, Ranunculales, Ranunculaceae.